GGGAUGACACAGUAGGAUAAGCUAAGCACACUGUUGGUUAUGUGUGCCCAAGCAUUGAGGCAGUCAAAGUAGGCAAAUCCGCUUUGAUAAUGCUGGGAUGUGAUGGGGAGCGAAAUUUAGUAGCGAAGUAGCUGAUUUCACACUGUCAAGAAAAGUCUCUAUCGAGGGUAAAGGUACCCGUACCGCAAACCGACACAGGGGGGUGAGGAGAGUAUCCUAAGGCCAGCGAGAGAACUGUUGUUAAGGAACUCGGCAAAAUGACCCCGUAACGUAGGGAUAAGGGGGGCAACAACCGGGUGGCCGCAGAGAGGAGGCGCA
This 318-nucleotide ribosomal RNA is filed under the name Clostridioides difficile. RNAcentral's name for it is "bacterial LSU rRNA". It matches the Rfam family "Bacterial large subunit ribosomal RNA", at positions 1466 to 1794 of the family's 2925-position model. The record is from RNAcentral. Lineage: Bacteria; Bacillati; Bacillota; Clostridia; Peptostreptococcales; Peptostreptococcaceae.